AACGCACGAGACCUGCGGACCUGCGGAAGGAUCAUUAGUGAAAGUCCCGGUGUCGGAAGUCUCUUUGGGGACAUCUUGCCCCGGGCGCGUGCUCGCAAGAGUUCACGCCAAACACCUGUGUUGUUGUUAUCCGUAGUGCUGGCAGGCUUUGCCUAGGGGGGGGGAGGUUUGCACCUCUGACUCUCCUGGCAACCCUCGUGCCCUCCAAUGUGAGGGUACGUUGGCGGUCUGCCAGCCGGU
RNAcentral lists this unclassified non-coding RNA (240 nucleotides) under soil metagenome. RNAcentral's name for it is "partial contains 5.8S ribosomal RNA, internal transcribed spacer 2, and large subunit ribosomal RNA". The record is from RNAcentral.